CCGGUGGCGAUGCGCCCAUGGGAAACACCCGUUCCCAUCCCGAACACGACGGUUAAGACGUGGGCGGCCGAAAGUACUAUACUGGCAACGGUAUGGGAGGAUAGGUGGCUGCCGGAUCA
This 119-nucleotide ribosomal RNA is filed under the name Butyrivibrio proteoclasticus B316. Lineage: Bacteria; Bacillati; Bacillota; Clostridia; Lachnospirales; Lachnospiraceae. The record is from RNAcentral.